Molecule: long non-coding RNA, 390 nt
Organism: Pantherophis guttatus
Lineage: Eukaryota; Metazoa; Chordata; Lepidosauria; Squamata; Colubridae
Source: RefSeq, a predicted model, not a curated record
GGAGUCUGAGGUUUUCAGGCCAGAGUGAAUAGUUUGGCAGUCAUUCAAGUCAUCUUCAAGAUCACCAAAGAUCUCAUUAACUCAUGAAAGGGCAGGAAAAAAACAGUGUUCAAAAGAGUUUGCCUGCAAAGAACAUCGUUGUCCCACUCUGCCAAGCCUCUGAGGAUAUAGGACUCGCUGUGUAAAUACAUCUCCAUCUGUCACCUCCAAUCACAUUCAUCUAUAAAUGUCUUCUGCACUCUUUUUUUCUUUCUCUCUCUUAACUAUUUCCAGCAGAUAAAGAUGUAACCCCUUUCAGUAAAUUGAAUAAUUCUGAAAUGUCAGAGUGCUUCAAAUCAGCCUGGCUAUUGUAUUGAUUUUCUGAAAUAAAAACCAAAUUUCCAGAGCGUA